Long non-coding RNA from Siniperca chuatsi (mandarin fish), 827 nucleotides. RefSeq lists it as uncharacterized. NCBI's taxonomy places the organism in Eukaryota, Metazoa, Chordata, Actinopteri, Centrarchiformes, Sinipercidae. The record is from RefSeq and is a predicted model, not a curated record. The transcript has 3 exons.
UAGAUCUAUGAUGUUUCCCAGGCAUGGUGUGUUGGAACAUGGAUAUGAUAUAUGUGAGAGUCAAGCAGAGUACCCGUGCCCUGCAGCACACAAACUCUGCCAUGAGCCCUUUCUCUAGCAAUCUGGACUUGUGCGAUGUACCCGAUGCUCGGACGCGGUGCUCUGCUGCCAUGGAAAUUGCUGUGAUGGCAAACCACAAGGUCAAACAAACAUAGUCAGUCCUGGACCAGACCUUAAAUACAGAGAACAAAGAUAGCAAGGACCAGUGUUUCUCAAAGGCUUCCUUCUUUUAUUUUAAAGUGGUGAUGGUGGUGCAUAUUUGCAAUGGGCAUAAGUCUGUCACAACCCAGUAAAGAAGGUAAAACGUAUUCCUUAUUCUGUUUGCUAAAACCUUAGUUGUCUUUUUUUUUUUUCUAGAAGCAAGAACCAUUUCUUUUCUGACUAUCUAAAACUUCCCCCCAUUAAAGUCACUGGACUCAGAAGUGUUCUUGGAAAACAUUCCUAUUUUUGUCUGGGUAACAGAGGUGGAACAGACAUCUACAACAAAGGUGCUGAAUCCAAAUCUCUACACGAUUGAGCUGAGCCACGGGGACUUCACGUGGAAAAUCAAACGCUGUUUCAAGCACUUCCAAGCUCUUCAUCAGGAGCUGCUGAUGUUCAAGGCUCUUCUAAAUCUCCCCCUGCCAACCUGCAUAUGCAGCUGGAGGACAACCUGAGAAACAUCCUCAAAAGCACCAUGUAUGAGAUCCAUCCAGCGACCACAAGUACAGCAACUUACAGUCAAAGCCUUGUCUUGUAAAAGAAUGACAUCAAUACAGUCAACUCCA